GACGAACGCUGGCGGCGUGCCUAAUACAUGCAAGUAGAACGCUGAAGGAGGAGCUUGCUUCUCUGGAUGAGUUGCGAACGGGUGAGUAACGCGUAGGUAACCUGCCUGGUAGCGGGGGAUAACUAUUGGAAACGAUAGCUAAUACCGCAUAAGAGUAGAUGUCGCAUGACAUUUGCUUAAAAGGUGCAAUUGCAUCACUACCAGAUGGACCUGCGUUGUAUUAGCUAGUUGGUGAGGUAACGGCUCACCAAGGCAACGAUACAUAGCCGACCUGAGAGGGUGAUCGGCCACACUGGGACUGAGACACGGCCCAGACUCCUACGGGAGGCAGCAGUAGGGAAUCUUCGGCAAUGGACGGAAGUCUGACCGAGCAACGCCGCGUGAGUGAAGAAGGUGUUCGGAUCGUAAAGCUCUGUUGUAAGAGAAGAACGAGUGUGAGAGUGGAAAGUUCACACUGUGACGGUAUCUUACCAGAAAGAGACGGCUAACUACGUG
This 495-nucleotide ribosomal RNA is filed under the name uncultured bacterium. RNAcentral describes it as "partial 16S ribosomal RNA". It matches the Rfam family "Bacterial small subunit ribosomal RNA", at positions 28 to 507 of the family's 1533-position model. The record is from RNAcentral.